GCGAGCAUUGCGGAUGGGAACUUUAAGGAGACUGCCAGGGACAAACUGGAGGGAGGCGGGGACGACGGAAAGUCAUCAUGGCCCUUACGUGCAGGGCUACACACGUGCUACAAUGGUCGGUACAAAGGGUUGCUACACAGGGAUGUGAUGAUAAUCUCAAAAAGCCGAUCGUAGUCCGGAUUGGAGUCUGCAACGCGACUCCAUGAAGUCGG
RNAcentral lists this ribosomal RNA (212 nucleotides) under Acinetobacter baumannii. Its description in RNAcentral is "partial 16S ribosomal RNA". It matches the Rfam family "Bacterial small subunit ribosomal RNA", at positions 1117 to 1329 of the family's 1533-position model. The record is from RNAcentral. Lineage: Bacteria; Pseudomonadati; Pseudomonadota; Gammaproteobacteria; Moraxellales; Moraxellaceae.